RNAcentral lists this ribosomal RNA (253 nucleotides) under uncultured bacterium. RNAcentral's name for it is "partial 16S ribosomal RNA". It matches the Rfam family "Bacterial small subunit ribosomal RNA", at positions 524 to 776 of the family's 1533-position model. The record is from RNAcentral.
UACAGAGGUCCCAAGCUUUGUUCGGAUUCAUUGGGCGUAAAGGGUGCGUAGGUGGCGCCGUAAGUGGGGUGUGAAAUUUCGGAGCUUAACUCCGAAACUGCAUUCCAUACUGCGGUGCUUGAGGACUGGAGAGGAGACUGGAAUUCAUGGUGUAGCAGUGAAAUGCGUAGAGAUCAUGAGGAAGACCAGUGGCGAAGGCGGGUCUCUGGACAGUUCCUGACACUGAGGCACGAAGGCCAGGGGAGCAAACGGG